UGAAGAGUUUGAUCCUGGCUCAGAUUGAACGCUAGCGGGAUGCUUUACACAUGCAAGUCGAACGGCAGCACGAGAGAGCUUGCUCUCUUGGUGGCGAGUGGCGGACGGGUGAGUAAUAUAUCGGAACGUGCCUAGUAGCGGGGGAUAACUACUCGAAAGAGUGGCUAAUACCGCAUACGCCCUACGGGGGAAAGGGGGGGAUCGCAAGACCUCUCACUAUUAGAGCGGCCGAUAUCGGAUUAGCUAGUUGGUGGGGUAAAGGCUCACCAAGGCAACGAUCCGUAGCUGGUUUGAGAGGACGACCAGCCACACUGGGACUGAGACACGGCCCAGACUCCUACGGGAGGCAGCAGUGGGGAAUUUUGGACAAUGGGGGAAACCCUGAUCCAGCCAUCCCGCGUGUAUGAUGAAGGCCUUCGGGUUGUAAAGUACUUUUGGCAGAGAAGAAAAGGUACCUCCUAAUACGAGGUACUGCUGACGGUAUCUGCAGAAUAAGCACCGGCUAACUACGUGCCAGCAGCCGCGGUAAUACGUAGGGUGCAAGCGUUAAUCGGAAUUACUGGGCGUAAAGCGUGUGUAGGCGGUUCGGAAAGAAAGAUGUGAAAUCCCAGGGCUUAACCUUGGAACUGCAUUUUUAACUGCCGAGCUAGAGUAUGUCAGAGGGGGGUAGAAUUCCACGUGUAGCAGUGAAAUGCGUAGAUAUGUGGAGGAAUACCGAUGGCGAAGGCAGCCCCCUGGGAUAAUACUGACGCUCAGACACGAAAGCGUGGGGAGCAAACAGGAUUAGAUACCCUGGUAGUCCACGCCCUAAACGAUGUCAACUAGCUGUUGGGGCCGUUAGGCCUUAGUAGCGCAGCUAACGCGUGAAGUUGACCGCCUGGGGAGUACGGUCGCAAGAUUAAAACUCAAAGGAAUUGACGGGGACCCGCACAAGCGGUGGAUGAUGUGGAUUAAUUCGAUGCAACGCGAAAAACCUUACCUACCCUUGACAUGUCUGGAAUCCCGAAGAGAUUUGGGAGUGCUCGCAAGAGAACCGGAACACAGGUGCUGCAUGGCUGUCGUCAGCUCGUGUCGUGAGAUGUUGGGUUAAGUCCCGCAACGAGCGCAACCCUUGUCAUUAGUUGCUACGCAAGAGCACUCUAAUGAGACUGCCGGUGACAAACCGGAGGAAGGUGGGGAUGACGUCAAGUCCUCAUGGCCCUUAUGGGUAGGGCUUCACACGUCAUACAAUGGUCGGGACAGAGGGUCGCCAACCCGCGAGGGGGAGCCAAUCUCAGAAACCCGAUCGUAGUCCGGAUCGCAGUCUGCAACUCGACUGCGUGAAGUCGGAAUCGCUAGUAAUCGCGGAUCAGAAUGUCGCGGUGAAUACGUUCCCGGGUCUUGUACACACCGCCCGUCACACCAUGGGAGUGGGUUUCACCAGAAGUAGGUAGCCUAACCGUAAGGAGGGCGCUUACCACGGUGGGAUUCAUGACUGGGGUGAAGUCGUAACAAGGUAGCCGUAUCGGAAGGUGCGGCUGGAUCACCUCCUUU
RNAcentral lists this ribosomal RNA (1533 nucleotides) under Alcaligenes pakistanensis. RNAcentral describes it as "bacterial SSU rRNA". It matches the Rfam family "Bacterial small subunit ribosomal RNA". Lineage: Bacteria; Pseudomonadati; Pseudomonadota; Betaproteobacteria; Burkholderiales; Alcaligenaceae. The record is from RNAcentral.